CGUUAUCAUCUAUUUGUUUUGUUAAAAAUUAGUAUAACUGACAGAAUAAUCAGAAAAUGAUAUGUGGUGUGUCAUGUGUACCUCGUGAUAAUGUAUAGGGAUCAGUUUUUAACAAUAGAAAUGGAUGAAAUUUUUAACU
Non-coding RNA from Gossypium arboreum, 139 nucleotides. The record is from Rfam. NCBI's taxonomy places the organism in Eukaryota, Viridiplantae, Streptophyta, Magnoliopsida, Malvales, Malvaceae.